RNAcentral lists this long non-coding RNA (2010 nucleotides) under Dasypus novemcinctus (nine-banded armadillo). Its description in RNAcentral is "lncRNA (ENSDNOG00000051042.1)". Lineage: Eukaryota; Metazoa; Chordata; Mammalia; Cingulata; Dasypodidae. The record is from RNAcentral.
AUGGAGGACCUUGGACAACUUCCAAUAUCUAUAAGUCACAAGAUUUUUCACUGCCACGAUGAGAAUGUUGUCUCCCACCAUACAGCCAGGUCUUGCCAAACACCUCCCUGCAGGCUCCAGACUCUUCUCAUCAACAGCUUCCGAAACCUUUUCCUCCUCAUCACCUCUCUCCAUUGGUGGCACCUCCAUCCUCUCUGGCAUCCAGGCUGACAGCCCAGGAAUAGUAAGAUUUUGAGAGGUAAGAAGCCAACAAGGCAUCAGAAGUCACCAUACAUCCUUCUGGCUGUAUUAGAACCCAUGUCAACACUAGUAUUUAAAAUAUAUUACAAAGACAGUAUAAGUCUAAAACCGUACCUUGAUAUAGUCGAUGUUUAACCUAGAAGAGUGGGGGGGGAGAAAUUAAAUUUUAUGUCAAAACAUAUUCUUAAAACAAUUCUUUAGUUUCUGAUAAAUGAAAUCAUAAUUCAAUGAAAUUAAAACAAUAUUUACUUAGUUCAAUGUGUAUUCACUGAAUUUAAAAUUUGAAAAAACAGAAUAUCCUGUUUAUAUGGUGAUAAUUCAUAAAUCAUUCCUAGUAAGGAGUACUGGGUAAAUGCCUUAUCUUGAUGGGUUAACAUUCUAUUUAAAAGAACACAAUCUACCUAACUUUUUUAAAUUAAUUUUUUAUUUUUAAAGAAGGUUUAGAUUACAUAAAAAACAUAAGGGAUUCCCAUAUGCCCUCUCCCUCCCCCUCCCAGUUUCCCACAUCAAAAACAUCCCUCUUGGAAAUAGCACACAUUUUAAAAAUUUAUUUGCAAAUAAUUGUUUUCAAAUCCAAUACACAUUGAAAUCCAGAAUCAGGGUUGACUAAAAAGUCCCCCAAAAAACAAAUGAAAAAGUAAAAUCUUUAAACUAAAAUAUGCUUCUUUUAUUCACCAUACAGAAUCUAAAACAUCUUUUUCAGAGUUGACUAUUUGCUGAAUUGAUUUACAAUGCCAGCAAAGAAGGUCCUGUGUUUUUAUCAGAACACUUAAACACAGAGGUCAACAAAUCAGAAAAGGAGUGCUUGAGGAGCAGAGAAAAUGCACAAGCAUAACCAGAAAUGAGAGCCCCGUGUGUGUGAAAGCACAUGUGUUCUAACUAAACUAUACAAAAUCCCUGGUUUCUGCUUUUUUUCCACUUGACCUUUGAUCAAGAAUGCUGUCCAUGUCCUGAAAUACCUUUGGAACAUAUGGAUUUUAUAAGCUGCCUAACACUGCAGCACUAUAAGGAUGUACAGUGAUUUAGCUCUUCUGUACUGUUGCCACAUUUUCAUUGUAAUAAAUACCAUCUGAUCAAAUAUAUUCCUCCAAGAUCACUGAAAGCAUGUUUGGUUAUUUCAUUGGGGUAGAGUCUCAUAUGUAGAUUUAUAAUGAAUAAAAAUGAUAUGAACAUUUUAAAGGCUUCAGACACAUUAUUAAACUGCUUUUCAGGUGAACCUACAAUUCCACCAGCACUAUAUGAAGGGCUCAGAAAAUGCUUAAUAGUAGUACUACUUUAUGAUAAAAGGGAUUUAUAAAUUAAGGGUUCCAUCAAGAGUAUACAGUUGUCUUGCCCACUGAGUCCUUAUUUCAAAGAUUGGAUUGUACAAGGUUAGCAUCCAUUUCAAACACGCAUUCAUGUCAGUCAUCUAAAAGCAAAAUUGAAAAAACCAAAAGAAGACAGAAUUUCCUGCUUAUUUAAGAGACCAACACGCCUAGAAGGCACUUUAAUAUACUCACGGCAAGCACAUAGCUGCAGAUUAAAAUGGCAAAUGAAGCAAUUCCCAAAUAAACAAUAAUGAUGAGAGGUUUCCAAGGUAUUUCAUAAAAAUCAGGACCAGGAUAAAAAUCCUCAGGCAGGUAUUCAAUCAGCUGGAAUAUAAAUAUUGGAAAUAAGGAGGAGCUUCAAGGAAAUCUGUCAUAUAGCAGUGACAAACCAUCAACCACAGAAACCCUAAACUGGGCUCUAAGAACGCCUGGGAGUUGGCACCUUGUGUUGCCCAUGGCUGGC